Molecule: ribosomal RNA, 373 nt
Filed under: uncultured bacterium
Lineage: Bacteria
Description: bacterial SSU rRNA
Rfam family: Bacterial small subunit ribosomal RNA
Source: RNAcentral
CACGCCGUAAACGAUGAUCACUAGAUGUAGGUUCUGCAUAGCAGGAUCUGUGUCGUAGCUAACGCGAUAAGUGAUCCACCUGAGUACUACGAUCGCAAGAUUAAAACUCAAAGAAAUUGACGGGGGUCCGCACAAGCGGUGGAACAUGUGGUUUAAUUCGACACUACGCGAGGAACCUUACCUGGGUUUGACAUGUAACUGCUACUGAUGGAGACAUUGGGUUCCGUAGCAAUACGGACGGUUACACAGGUGCUGCAUGGCUGUCGUCAGCUCGUGUCGUGAGACGUCGGGUUAAGUCCUUGAACGAGCGCAACCCUUGCCGUUAGUUGCUUACCGCAAGGUGGCACUCUAGCGGGACUGCUUCGGAAACGGA